AGACGGACCCGGCGGGAGAGGAGGAAGCCGGGUUGUGGGCGCGGAGCUGAGGCGGAGGCGGGGCCGGGGCGGGAAGGGGCGGCCCCAGCUGGGUCGGGCGAGGCUGGCUGCGGGAAACCGAGUGAGCCCUCGCUUUUCCUCCGGGGUCCGCGCGCGGGACCCUAUUUCUGGCCUGUCUCGCGCUUCGCCUGCGCGGUGGUCUCCACGCUGGGACUGCGGCGUCCUCGCAGAACAGCCAGAACUCCACUUCUUCCUGUCCGGGAGGAGUUGUUUAAAACAUGCGUAUCUCCACCUUCUGCUUCUUAGAACAGAACUGACUGAAGCCGUGUUCUUCCCGCCGAGACCAUGCCGCCCCAUCGACCCUGCUGCGGCCAGAGCCACCCAGGGCGGGCCCACUCACCGCAGGCUCGGGCCACUUGGUUCCAAACCUCCACUCCCAUCCAGGGGCCCGGCACACCCACCACACUCCCACUCUCAGAGGUCUUUGCCGCCUGCUUCAGGAGAAAAGAGAAACUUCCACUUUCCACCGGCAAAACUGCACACCUGCUCCCUCCAUCACCGAGCCCCCCCCCCCACCUUCUGUUUUUCCAGUAUCGCAGAAUCCGAUCCGUUGCUCCCUCUGGACUGGAAUCCGUAUCCUCGGCAUUUCAUCAUUCCAAGAUUCUCUACUCCACGUACCCUUGCUGCCACCCUCUUCUACUUUCCAUCGCUGAAGUUGGUGAAAGAGGCGCCUGCCCCCAGUUUUGUGGUCUCUCAACUCCACGUGUUCGUUUUCACACUCGGUGAAAUUGCCUUUUUAAUUGUCGCAAGUAGCAUCCACAUCACUAAAGUCAAAGGACACUCUCCUUUCUCGUGUUAACUGAUCUGAGCAAAAUUCCUUCUUUCUCCUUAAAACACGUCUUCCUGUGGCGGGGGUGCUCCACUUUCCUGUCUGUCCCCAGUCUUGGCGUGCUUGUCUACUCUGGGUGACCACCAAAUAACAGAGUUUUCAAGGUCUCAGACCUUUCCUCUUACUCCACAAUUUUUCCCUGAAUGAUUUAACCUGCUGUCAACAUUUAAAUCAAUAUAUCCCAAAUUUGCAACUCUAAUCUUUGCUCCUCUGAGCUCCAAAUCCGUUUAUCUAGCUUCCUAUUCAGCUACUCCUGGUAACAAGCACCUCAAAUGGAACCCAUCCAAAACUGAAUGCGUCCUUUCCCUGCUUGCUUUCAACUCCCUGUCUCCCUGUGAUAGUGAAGACACCACUAUCCAGUGUUUCCCAAACUCUGCCUUCACCUCGGCAUCUAACAAAUCGCCAAGAUUCUACUUCCUAAAUAACUCUGAAGUCUGUCCACUUCCUACCAUUUCCAGUAUUACGUAUCAUAAUGUGCUUACUGCACGUGCGUUUUCCCGGCCCACACUCAGUGAUGUCUCGUUGGUAGACUGUAAUGGGCCAUGGUCGAAGUAUUUACACCAUGGAAAUUAGCCAACAUUAUGAAUCAUGAAUCAGGGAUCGAUUUGUUUUGCUGAUUGUCUCUAGACUUCAGAAAGUGAUGGGGAAGAUGUUAAUAAUGUAGAUUAAACUUAAAAAUGUGUUUAGUGCUGAAACAAGAUUGCAGUUUAAUGAGUUUAUACAAGGGUAAGAAGUAGUUUAACAGAUCACAUAUCAGAUUUAAGGACAAUAAAUUUGUUGGCAAAAAGUGGAUCGGUAUGUAAUUUCACUAGUCACAUCAUGGUUGAGUUACAAGCAUUGGAUGGAUUCAGAUACAAGCCUUUGGCAAAAAAGAAGCAAAGCUUUCUGUGAGAAUCAGUCAAGUAGAUAGAACUGACAAUAAAGAGUGUCUGCCUUUUA
This is a long non-coding RNA of Homo sapiens (human), 1828 nucleotides long. The record is from Ensembl. NCBI's taxonomy places the organism in Eukaryota, Metazoa, Chordata, Mammalia, Primates, Hominidae.